CCUACGGGGGGCAGCAGUGAGGAAUAUUGGUCAAUGGGCGGAAGCCUGAACCAGCCAAGUCGCGUGAGGGAUUAAGGCCCUGCGGGUCGUAAACCUCUUUUGCCGGGGAGCAGAGGUCCGGACGUGUCCGGGUCGGGAGAGUACCCGGAGACCAAGCCUCGGCUAACUCCGUGCCAGCAGCCGCGGUAAUACGGAGGAUGCGAGCGUUAUCCGGAUUUAUUGGGUUUAAAGGGUGCGUAUGCGGGCAUUUAAGCCGGCGGUCAAAUGUCGGGGCUCAACCCCGGCCUGCCGGCGGAACUGGGGGCCUGGAGUGGGCGAGAAGUAUGCGGAAUGCGUGGUGUAGCGGUGAAAUGCAUAGAUAUCACGCAGAACCCCGAUUGCGAAGGCAGCAUACCGGCGCCCUACUGACGCUGAGGCACGAAAGUGCGGGUAUCGAACAGGAUUAGAUACCCGUGUAGUC
Molecule: ribosomal RNA, 460 nt
Filed under: uncultured bacterium
Lineage: Bacteria
Description: partial 16S ribosomal RNA
Rfam family: Bacterial small subunit ribosomal RNA
Source: RNAcentral